UACGAAGGGUGCAAGCGUUACUCGGAAUUACUGGGCGUAAAGCGUGCGUAGGCGGUAUGUUAAGUCUGAUGUGAAAUCCCCGGGCUCAACCUGGGAAUGGCAUUGGAUACUGGCAGGCUAGAGUACGGUAGAGGGUGGUGGAAUUCCCGGUGUCGCGGUGGAAUGCGUAGAGAUCGGGAGGAACAUCUGUGGCGAAGGCGGCCACCUGGACCGGUACUGACGCUGAGGCGCGAAAGCGUGGGGAGCAAACAGG
This 253-nucleotide ribosomal RNA is filed under the name uncultured bacterium. RNAcentral's name for it is "partial 16S ribosomal RNA". It matches the Rfam family "Bacterial small subunit ribosomal RNA", at positions 524 to 776 of the family's 1533-position model. The record is from RNAcentral.